AUGAGGCUGCCUACAGACAUUCACGGACCCUGGCUCUUACAGGGGACUUUAAGCACCCUGAUAUCGGCUGGAGGAACAACACAGCAAGGCACAAGCAAUCCAGGAGGUUCCUGGAAAGUGCUGAUGUUAACUCAGGUGAUGGAGGAGCCAAUGAGGAGAGGUGUGCUGCUGGACCUUGUACUAACAAACAAGGAAGGGCUGGUUGGAAAUGUGAAGGUUGGGGGCAGCCUUGGCUACAGGGACCUUGAGAUGGUAGAGUUCAGGAUCCUACGAGGAGGAACCAGGGCAAUAAGUAGGACAGCAACCCUGGAAUGCAGGAAAGCUAACUUUGGCCUCUUCAGGGACCUGCUUGGAAGAAUCCCAUGGGGUAGGGCCCUGGAAGGAAGAGGGGUCCAGGAGAACUGGUUAAUAUUCAAGGGUCACUUCCUCCAGGCUCAAGAGCGGUGCAUCCCUAUGAGCAAGAAGUCAAGCAAAGCGGGCAGGAGACCUGCAUGGAUGAACAAGGAACUCCUGACAAAACUCCAGCAGAAGAAGGAAGUCUACAGAAUGUGGACAAGGGGACAGGCCACUUGGGAGGAAUAUAGGGACGUUGUCAGAGUCUGCAGGGAUGCGACGAGCAAGGCCAAGGCCCACUUGGAAUUAAAUCUGGUAAGGGAUGUCAAGGGCAACAAGAAGGGCUUCUUCAAAUACAUCAGUAGCAAAAGGAAGACUAGGGAAAAUGUGGGCCCCCUACUGAAUGGGGCAGGGGCCCUGGUGACGGAGGACACAGAGAAGGCAGAGAUACUGAGUCCCUUCUUUGCUUCAGUCUUCACUGCUAAGGCCAGCCCUCAGGAAUCCCGGACCCUGGAGACCAGGGAGAAAGUCUGGAGAAAGCAAGACUUUCCCUUGGGCGAGAAGGAUCGGGUCAGAGAUCAUUUAGGCAGACUUGACACCCACAGGUCCGUGGGCCCUGAUGGCAUGCACCCGCAAGUGCUGAGGGAGCUGGCGGACGUCAUUGCUAGGUCCCUCUCAAUGAUCUUUGAACGGCCAUGGCAAUCGGGAGAGGUGCCUGAGGACUGGAAGAAAGCCAGUGUCACCCCAGCGCCUUCCAAAAGGGCAAGAAGGAGGAGCCUGGGAACUACAGGCCUGUCAGCCUCACCUCCAUCCCGGGAAAGGUGA
RNAcentral lists this long non-coding RNA (1158 nucleotides) under Struthio camelus australis. RNAcentral's name for it is "lncRNA (ENSSCUG00000004201.1)". Lineage: Eukaryota; Metazoa; Chordata; Aves; Struthioniformes; Struthionidae. The record is from RNAcentral.